Molecule: ribosomal RNA, 384 nt
Filed under: uncultured bacterium
Lineage: Bacteria
Description: bacterial SSU rRNA
Rfam family: Bacterial small subunit ribosomal RNA
Source: RNAcentral
CUGGAGAGGGGGAUAACCACCGGAAACGGUGGCUAAUACCCCGGAUGUGGAUAGCGUUAGAGGCUAUCGACUGAAGUGGUGUCUUCGGACACCGCGCUCUGGGAGGGGCCUGCGGCCCAUCAGCUGGUUGGUAGGGUAACGGCCUACCAAGGCGAAGACGGGUAGGGGGCGUGAGAGCGCGACCCCCCACACUGGUACUGAAACACGGACCAGAUACCUACGGGUAGCAGCAGCAAGGAAUAUUGCGCAAUGGGGGCAACCCUGACGCAGCAACGCCGCGUGGAGGAGGAAGUCNUUCGGGAUGUAAACUCCUUUUCUGGGGGAAGAAGGCGGGUCAGGCAACUGACNUUGCUUGACGGUACCCCAGGAAGAAGGCCCGGCUAA